Molecule: transfer RNA, 103 nt
Filed under: Candidatus Freyarchaeota archaeon
Lineage: Archaea; Promethearchaeati; Candidatus Freyarchaeota
Description: tRNA-Ser
Rfam family: tRNA
About the family: Transfer RNA (tRNA) molecules are approximately 80 nucleotides in length.
Source: RNAcentral
GCGGGGGUAACCAAGCCCGGUUAUACAUUCUGCCGACAGGUGCCGGCCUGCUAAGCCGGUUCCCCAUGGGGGAGCGCGGGUUCAAAUCCCGCCCCCCGCGCCA